AUUGAACGCUGGCGGCAGGCCUAACACAUGCAAGUCGAGCGGAAGAAGGGAGCUUGCUCCUGGAUUCAGCGGCGGACGGGUGAGUAAUGCCUAGGAAUCUGCCUGGUAGUGGGGGAUAACGUCCGGAAACGGGCGCUAAUACCGCAUACGUCCUGAGGGAGAAAGUGGGGGAUCCUCGGACCUCACGCUAUCAGAUGAGCCUAGGUCGGAUUAGCUAGUUGGUGGGGUAAAGGCCUACCAAGGCGACGAUCCGUAACUGGUCUGAGAGGAUGAUCAGUCACACUGGAACUGAGACACGGUCCAGACUCCUACGGGAGGCAGCAGUGGGGAAUUUUGGACAAUGGGCGAAAGCCUGAUCCAGCCAUGCCGCGUGUGUGAAGAAGGUCUUCGGAUUGUAAAGCACUUUAAGUUGGGAGGAAGGGCAGUAAGUUAAUACCUUGCUGUUUUGACGUUACCAACAGAAUAAGCACCGGCUAACUUCGUG
This 484-nucleotide ribosomal RNA is filed under the name uncultured bacterium. RNAcentral's name for it is "partial 16S ribosomal RNA". It matches the Rfam family "Bacterial small subunit ribosomal RNA", at positions 30 to 507 of the family's 1533-position model. The record is from RNAcentral.